GUAAGGAAUAUUGGGCAAUGGAGGCAACUCUGACCCAGCCAUGCCGCGUGAAGGAUUGACGGCCCUCUGGGUUGUAAACUUCUUUUGUACGGGAAUAACCCUCCGAACGUGUUCGGAGCUGAAGGUACCGUAAGAAUAAGGAUCGGCUAACUCCGUGCCAGCAGCCGCGGUAAUACGGAGGAUCCAAGCGUUAUCCGGAUUUACUGGGUUUAAAGGGUGCGUAGGCGGAUUGAUAAGUCAGUGGUGAAAUCCUGCAGCUUAACUGCAGAACUGCCAUUUAUACUGCCAGUCUGGAGUAUGGUUGAGGUAGCUGGAAUGUGUCAUGUAGCGGUGAAAUGCUUAGAGAUGACACAGAACACCGACGGCGAAGGCAGGUUACCAACCCAUUACUGACGCUGAGGCACGAAAGCGUGGGGAUCAAACAGGAUUAGAUACCCGAGUAGUCC
RNAcentral lists this ribosomal RNA (446 nucleotides) under uncultured bacterium. RNAcentral's name for it is "partial 16S ribosomal RNA". It matches the Rfam family "Bacterial small subunit ribosomal RNA", at positions 354 to 796 of the family's 1533-position model. The record is from RNAcentral.